GAGGUUUGUUUUUUUUCUUCGCUAGAUAUGCUCAGUUUUUUUUAUUCGGAGGUGGUGUCAUGCUUUGCUUUGAGUACGAGUGAAAUUUCCACGAUGAUCAACACCUGCGAUUUGGAACGCACUUUGAAGAUUCAAAGCAAAAUCCAGAUGAGUCGGAGCUACUAUAAGGGCUAGUGACAAGAUUCUAUCAUUGAUUCUAUUGAAUCUCUUCCCUAGAUUAAACUCUAGCAAUUGGAGAAGAAGACCUUGAGAUCGACGGAGAUUGAAGGCAAGAAGAACAUGCUAGCAGCCUCAAGCAAGUUCGAGAUGAAGAUCGGCAAGUUCUCCAACGAGUUUUUCGGCACCACCUACUUCCUUUGCGGACUGGAAGAGAUGAAGCCACGAGUUGACCAUGUGUCAUCAUGCACUUCAUUAUUAUCUUAAGUUAUGGUUUCAUUUGGGCCAAAUUGUUUUGGGUAAAUCACAUGUUUACCACUUUCAUGCUAUCACUUUUCAUUUUUACCAUCACCAAAGGGACAUUUUCAAAAAUACAUUCUUCGUUAAAUGACAAAAGACUCUUAUGCCCUUGUUCUUUAUAUAUAUAAUAAAUAAAUAUUUAAAUAAAUAAAAAUCCAGAAAAAUAAAAAAUAAUUUUUUUAAUUUUUUUCGAAUUAUACUGAAAUUCAAACCCUAAACCCUAAAACUCAACUCUAAACCCUAAACCAUCAAUCCUAAACCCUAUUUUUUUUAAAUACGAACCCUAAACCC
Molecule: long non-coding RNA, 747 nt
Filed under: Brassica napus (rape)
Lineage: Eukaryota; Viridiplantae; Streptophyta; Magnoliopsida; Brassicales; Brassicaceae
Description: long non-coding RNA (BNAP_LNC013719)
Source: RNAcentral